RNAcentral lists this ribosomal RNA (542 nucleotides) under uncultured bacterium. RNAcentral describes it as "partial 16S ribosomal RNA". It matches the Rfam family "Bacterial small subunit ribosomal RNA", at positions 355 to 887 of the family's 1533-position model. The record is from RNAcentral.
UGGGGAAUAUUGCACAAUGGGCGCAAGCCUGAUGCAGCCAUGCCGCGUGUGUGAAGAAGGCCUUCGGGUUGUAAAGCACUUUCAGCGAGGAGGAAGGUGGUGGACUUAAUACGUUCAUCAAUUGACGUUACUCGCAGAAGAAGCACCGGCUAACUCCGUGCCAGCAGCCGCGGUAAUACGGGGGGUGCAAGCGUUAAUCGGAAUUACUGGGCGUAAAGCGCACGCAGGCGGUUUGUUAAGUCAGAUGUGAAAUCCCCGGGCUCAACCUGGGAACUGCAUUUGAAACUGGCAAGCUAGAGUCUCGUAGAGGGGGGUAGAAUUCCAGGUGUAGCGGUGAAAUGCGUAGAGAUCUGGAGGAAUACCGGUGGCGAAGGCGGCCCCCUGGACGAAGACUGACGCUCAGGUGCGAAAGCGUGGGGAGCAAACAGGAUUAGAUACCCUGGUAGUCCACGCUGUAAAACGAUGUCGAUUUUGGAGGUUGUGCCCUUGAGGCGUGGCUUCCGGAGCUAACGCGUUAAAUCGACCGCCUGGGGAGUACGGCC